GAGUGCGCAUGCUAUACAUGCAGUCGAACGAACUCUGGUAUUGAUUGGUGCUUGCAUCAUGAUUUACAUUUGAGUGAGUGGCGAACUGGUGAGUAACACGUGGGAAACCUGCCCAGAAGCGGGGGAUAACACCUGGAAACAGAUGCUAAUACCGCAUAACAACUUGGACCGCAUGGUCCGAGUUUGAAAGAUGGCUUCGGCUAUCACUUUUGGAUGGUCCCGCGGCGUAUUAGCUAGAUGGUGAGGUAACGGCUCACCAUGGCAAUGAUACGUAGCCGACCUGAGAGGGUAAUCGGCCACAUUGGGACUGAGACACGGCCCAAACUCCUACGGGAGGCAGCAGUAGGGAAUCUUCCACAAUGGACGAAAGUCUGAUGGAGCAACGCCGCGUGAGUGAAGAAGGGUUUCGGCUCGUAAAACUCUGUUGUUAAAGAAGAACAUAUCUGAGAGUAACUGUUCAGGUAUUGACGGUAUUUAACCAGAAAGCCACGGCUAACUACGUGCCAGCAGCCGCGGUAAUACGUAGGUGGCAAGCGUUGUCCGGAUUUAUUGGGCGUAAAGCGAGCGCAGGCGGUUUUUUAAGUCUGAUGUGAAAGCCUUCGGCUCAACCGAAGAAGUGCAUCGGAAACUGGGAAACUUGAGUGCAGAAGAGGACAGUGGAACUCCAUGUGUAGCGGUGAAAUGCGUAGAUAUAUGGAAGAACACCAGUGGCGAAGGCGGCUGUCUGGUCUGUAACUGACGCUGAGGCUCGAAAGUAUGGGUAGCAAACAGGAUUAGAUACCCUGGUAGUCCAUACCGUAAACGAUGAAUGCUAAGUGUUGGAGGGUUUCCGCCCUUCAGUGCUGCAGCUAACGCAUUAAGCAUUCCGCCUGGGGAGUACGGCCGCAAGGCUGAAACUCAAAGGAAUUGACGGGGGCCCGCACAAGCGGUGGAGCAUGUGGUUUAAUUCGAAGCUACGCGAAGAACCUUACCAGGUCUUGACAUACUAUGCAAAUCUAAGAGAUUAGACGUUCCCUUCGGGGACAUGGAUACAGGUGGUGCAUGGUUGUCGUCAGCUCGUGUCGUGAGAUGUUGGGUUAAGUCCCGCAACGAGCGCAACCCUUAUUAUCAGUUGCCAGCAUUAAGUUGGGCACUCUGGUGAGACUGCCGGUGACAAACCGGAGGAAGGUGGGGAUGACGUCAAAUCAUCAUGCCCCUUAUGACCUGGGCUACACACGUGCUACAAUGGAUGGUACAACGAGUUGCGAACUCGCGAGAGUAAGCUAAUCUCUUAAAGCCAUUCUCAGUUCGGAUUGUAGGCUGCAACUCGCCUACAUGAAGUCGGAAUCGCUAGUAAUCGCGGAUCAGCAUGCCGCGAUGUGGAGUACUAAGA
Molecule: ribosomal RNA, 1372 nt
Filed under: Lactiplantibacillus plantarum
Lineage: Bacteria; Bacillati; Bacillota; Bacilli; Lactobacillales; Lactobacillaceae
Description: bacterial SSU rRNA
Rfam family: Bacterial small subunit ribosomal RNA
Source: RNAcentral